Long non-coding RNA from Cucumis melo (muskmelon), 172 nucleotides. RefSeq lists it as uncharacterized. NCBI's taxonomy places the organism in Eukaryota, Viridiplantae, Streptophyta, Magnoliopsida, Cucurbitales, Cucurbitaceae. The transcript is spliced from 3 exons. The record is from RefSeq and is a predicted model, not a curated record.
CCUCUUUGCGCUUGCCGUGUAAGAUAUAGUGCUAAUAAAUAUGUGGUGUCACGAUAUUGGCCGUGAGCAGGCUGCAAAUAAGCCUCUCCUCAAAACUGUAUUUCAGGUCAUGAUGAGAUUGUUCAGUCCACAUAAAACAACACUAAUGUUUGUCAUACGUGAUAAAACAAGG